This 255-nucleotide ribosomal RNA is filed under the name Clostridioides difficile. RNAcentral describes it as "partial 23S ribosomal RNA". It matches the Rfam family "Bacterial large subunit ribosomal RNA", at positions 2239 to 2493 of the family's 2925-position model. The record is from RNAcentral. Lineage: Bacteria; Bacillati; Bacillota; Clostridia; Peptostreptococcales; Peptostreptococcaceae.
UCUGGUCUUGGGACACUGUCAGGUGGGCAGUUUGACUGGGGCGGUCGCCUCCCAAAAGGUAACGGAGGCGCUCAAAGGUUCUCUCAGUACGGUCGGAAAUCGUACGUAGAGUGUAAAGGCAAAAGAGGGCUUGAUUGCAAGACAUACAGGUCGAGCAAGGAUGAAAAUCGGACUUAGUGAUCCGGUGGUUCUGCGUGGAAGGGCCAUCGCUCAACGGAUAAAAGCUACCCUGGGGAUAACAGGCUUAUCUCCCCC